Long non-coding RNA from Poecilia latipinna (sailfin molly), 1948 nucleotides. RefSeq lists it as uncharacterized. The record is from RefSeq and is a predicted model, not a curated record. Lineage: Eukaryota; Metazoa; Chordata; Actinopteri; Cyprinodontiformes; Poeciliidae. The transcript is spliced from 2 exons.
UGCCCUGCACUGUAGUCCACUUCCUGCUUCUCUGAGGUAUCCGUGACGCUAACUGUUCACUACCACCACUUCAGCUCAGUCGACUCGUUGCCUGCUGACCGUUUUCCGUCAGACGCUCCAGUCGCUGCCGAUGCGGCCAAACGCUUCACCUUCAUCCAGACCAACUGACAUCAUCACUGGCUGUAAGGGAACCAAUCAUCAUCCAGUUCUGGUUUCUGGACAAGUGAUGCAUCAUGGGAAGCAUAUUGAUCAAAAGGUGGAUCAGUAAGGAGUAAAAACGGUCAACAGACCUGCAGGCUCAUCAGAAGUGGGUCAGAACCGGGUCUAAAGUCCGUCCUGUACUGAGCAUGUGCAAAAGGUCCAGCAGGUGUUGAGCAACAAGAUCAGUGUUUGAACCAACAAACGGAUCUAAGAAUAGCAGCCGGAGGCCCCAGGGGCCACUCACCUGCUCCACCCAACACCUGGGCGGCGUCAGGAGAAGAAGAAACCACCAGCACCGCCUGGUGGUCGCUCCUGGAAGUGUCGCAUUCAUCUGGACUCCUCGUUGAGAAACUUUCUCAAUAAAGUUUAUUUAAAACAAAACAAGAGAAGCGAGCAGAGGAAACAGACUUCAAAAUAAGAGCAUAACAGAAACAGCGAACUUAUUUGAUCAGUCGAUAAACAAAACUUCAACACGUUAAUUUAACUGAAAUUUAUAAAACAGCCUAAAAAAUUUAUUGUUUAAGAAUUUAUUCAGAAGAAUUAACUGAGGUGAAGCUAAAUGUUUUCAGCUAGCUAAGCGCUAAAUAAACAUUAGCUUCACUACUAGCACAUUAGCAACAGUGUGCAUCUGUCGCAGAGGAGCUCUGGUUCCCAGAUGUCCCUGAAUGCAUCGCAGAGGACCUCUGGUUCCCAGAUGUCCCUGAAUGCAUCGCAGAGGAGCUCUGGUUCCCAGAUGUCCCUGAAUGCAUCGCAGAGGGAACCAGUUGGAGCGUCUCCUGGUCUUUGGCCAACAGGCAGCUGUUUCUCGGUACCAGUUUAGACCCAGUCUGUCCUGGUUGGACUGAUGAAGAUGAAGGUCUACUGACCGUUUCUGCUCAGAGACGUUUCACAGGUUUCAGGUUUAAAUUGAUCCUUCGGUGAACACGGACCGGACCGACCCGGUUCCCUUCAUGGCUUCAGGCUUUUGGACUCAGAGCUGCCAACAUUAAAAAAAACUUAAAACUGAGAAAAUAAAAAUAAAUGACAUAAAAACUAGUCAGAAAAGAGACGAAACCGACCGAAUAAAGAAACAGAAACUUAAACCGUUAUUAGAGAAACUUUUAAUUUCACGACUGAAACAGGAAGAAGCUCAGAGACGAUCUGAUUGACCAGAACCGAUCCCAAUACAACGAUCUGCUACAUGAACCGUUGCCAUGGUGACUCCUCUGGGGGCGGGGCUUAAUGUGAAGGCGGAGGAGGCUGCAGAUUAUUUUAGACUAAAAAAAUUAGCAUUUUGAUUCAAUUGAGAGAUGAAACCUAAAGUCCUGCACUGUAAAAACAAACAGUGUUAUCGUCAUAGAGGAAAAUGGCUGACAGUUGAGCGCUGUCCUCGUCUCCUGCCGGACGGACUCGAUAAAAACUAAGCGUGAAUCAGCUUCAAUUAGUUUCACAUGUUUUCAUCCAGCCACUCUGAUCCUCCUGAUGUUUCAUGUUUCAGGAAAAACAAACUAAGGUUUGAGUUUUUCCUGCAGAGGAAACAUGAGAAACAUCAGGCAGAAACAACGUCCAGCUUCACUCAGGCCUACAUCUCCCACAAUGCAUUUCACAGGCCGGGUCGAAGCGUCACGGCGCGUCCACCACCGUCCGCUGAGCCUCGUACAUUUUCCCGAUGGACACCUGGACACACGGAGACACGAGGGACAAAUCAGCCACAGGCUGGAAGGCUGCAGGAAAAUCACAGUUUACAUGGAAAAACAGGGAAUUUAGC